GAUGAACGCUGGCGGCGUGCCUAAUACAUGCAAGUCGAGCGCGACUGAUUACACCGUUCUUCGGAACACCGUAAUCAUCGAGCGGCGGACGCGUGAGUAACACGUGCGCAACCUACCCUUAAGACUGGGAUAACCGCGGGAAACCGUGGCUAAUACUGGAUAAUACUUUUAUACAACGGUAUAGAAGUUGAAAGGUGGAUUUCUAUCACUUAAGGAUGGGCCUGCGGCGCAUUAGCUGGUUGGUAAGGUAACGGCUUACCAAGGCGACGAUGCGUAGCCGACCUGAGAGGGUGAUCGGCCACACUGGAACUGAGACACGGUCCAGACUCCUACGGGAGGCAGCAGUAGGGAAUCGUCCGCAAUGGGCGAAAGCCUGACGGAGCAACGCCGCGUGUGCGAAGAAGGUCUUCGGAUCGUAAAGCACUGUUGUUAGGGAAGAACGACAGUAAGAGUAACUGUUUACUGUGUGACGGUACUUAACCAGAAAGCCACGGCUAACUACGUG
This 505-nucleotide ribosomal RNA is filed under the name uncultured bacterium. RNAcentral's name for it is "partial 16S ribosomal RNA". It matches the Rfam family "Bacterial small subunit ribosomal RNA", at positions 28 to 507 of the family's 1533-position model. The record is from RNAcentral.